GCCUCCAUCACCCCAGCACAUAGUUAGGUGGGAUGGAGCGUCUGAGAGAACUGGAACUUUUGAUGGAAAAAGCCGUGAGUGAUGGGGCUACAGUACAGCUUACCUCACAGGACUGUGGGAAGAGCUAAAUUGGACGUUUAAAAAGUUCCCUGUAAACUACAAAAUCACAAAGAAAUAAAACUUACUAUAAUCACUGUGGAACAGGAGGGAAAGAAUGGUGGACAAAAAACACCUAAAAGCCACAGUUCACAGGAGCUUUCACAAAGAUGUCCUAGGUCCCCGUACUAUCAUUUCUCUAGAGUCCGGAGAACUUCCUGACCCUAGCUCUGCAUCUAAAGCAGGAUUUUCUAAACUGACAACAUUAGAAGAUCCAUGGAUAGUCUUUCAGGGGUUCCUUAGCUUCCUGAAAUUACUUGGGAAAAAAACAAUGCGUGUAUCUAAGUUCAUUUGCUGGGGAGAGGACCAUAGCUUCCACCAGAAUAUAAAGGGACACAGACCCAGAAGAGGGACCCUGCGCCUGCCGUAAAGGGGAGUGUUGAAGACUGUGUACCAAGCAUUGAGAUCCUGCAGGAGUUAGCAUUUCAAGAGGUUAAGAAAGCAUCCAUGGCCAUGUCCAAACCAGCUGGAUCUUCAGGUCAUUUUCCUCCCCUUGGGCACUCCCCACCUAACCCCCACCCACAGCCCCUUAACGGAAUAAUCCAGUAGUUGGCUGCUUGAAAGAUACUGUAAAUAGCUCCAACAGAGUGCAGUUUGGGGCAGCUUCCAAUUAGCCUUCGCUUGCAGUCUUUUGUUCCCUGCCAAGUUUGUGCAGCGAGCAUCCAACGCCCCGCCCUCUGCUUGGCUCAGAGUCGCAGGGCAGGGAGGAGUCAAGUGUGUGAUCAAGCUGAUAGAUGUCAGCUCCAACGUGUACGGAUGUCCCACCUGAAAGCUGACAAGGGGGAUUAAAAGGUGCUUUCGAAACGGGUGUGCCUGGCAGUGUGGCAGUGAAGGGAGCUUGUUUCCCUGGAGAUGCAUCUGAGCUAAAAACAAAGCUGAUGGCCAAUUAAAAGGUAAGUGCCUUAUGUUAAAAGCCAGAACAUUAUACUUCAAUAUUCAUAAUUAGGUAGCUUUUGAAUGACUGAAGAACAAUGCAUGUCCAUAUAUGGGGCCAAUCAGGGCAACUAUAUUUUGCAAUCCAAAUCAACCAAAGUCUAUUUAACCGAUUGCUGGGAAUUACCUGCCUCCUUGUUGGCUGGCUGGGAGGCUCAGUACUUCAUAAAUAUUAGAGCUGUAAAAGACCAAGGAGUUCCUAAUGUGUUUAUUUCAGUAUAAUGAAUUCUUCAGGAAAGUGAUAGGAUUACUGAAGCAGAGCUUGGUAAAAAACCCUACUGAUUUUGGCAGCUCUACUAUUCUUCAGGAGUAGUAUCUAAAUAUGACCGGGGAAGAGAGCAUAAAGAUUAUUCACUUGGGCUCAAUUUUUUUAAGUUAAAUGAAAUAGAAUUUAUCUUUCACUUAUUUUCCAAAUUAUCAGACCACCAAAAUUGCCACUGGAGUUGUACAAAGUUAAAGAGAGAUAUAAAGGAGAAAGUGAGCACUGGAGCAGAAGAUCAUGAUUGACCAGAUUCGAGUGGACUUCAGCACCCCCUGAAGGUUGGGGGCUGGCAGUGAUCCCCUCUUGAGUCCCUCCAAUGUGAUUAUUCUCCCAGCAGAAAGUCAAUUUAGAAUUUGCUCUUAGAACCUUUAAGUGAUGCUUUCAAGUGUUUAUUAAUAAUGCAGCUAAUUUUGGGGGGAUGGGCGAUGGGGGUCGUUCAGUCUUGCCCGAGAGGUAAGACAAUGCCACUUGACAAAUUGAGAGCAAAGGCAGGCCAAAGAAAUGCUCACAGUCACCAAUCAAACCCUUUCCAGAAAAGAACUGAGGAUGAAUAUCUCCACUCCCCGCAAAUGCUCUGUCCACUGGGAGGCAGCAUAGGCUGCUGGAAAGAGAAAUGGGCCAGAGCUCAGAGAUCUGGGUUCUAGUCCCUGCUGUGCCACGGACUUGGGGCGUGUGGUGCGGAGACAGCAACAGAACCCUAGUCACCAAAUGAGGGCAAAAAAGAGAAAAUGAGACAGGAGAUGGAGGACUACUUGAGAGGCAAAGAUACAACCUGCUGAAAGGAAAUCCACAUAGACAAACGUUUGGAGGGUGUGGAAACUGAUCUUUCUAGCUACAACUGACUUUCCUUUGAGGUGGAAAGAGACCACUCCACAGGGAUUUAAAAUAAACAGAACAACAGAACAAACACACUUUAAGACAAAGCUUUCUAAAGUGUGCUUCUAAGAAUCCUCAUCCAGGGAGAAAGUCCUGAGGUCAAACAAAUUCUGAAAAUGUGACCUACUCCACCACACACAUCCUUCUGGGAGAUUUACAGCGGACAUUAACAUAUUAAAGCCCCAUAGUUAAGAAAGCUCUUUAAUUCCCAAUUUCGCAAACUGACUUGACAAGGCAACCUUUCCUCACACGCAAACAGUAAAACAAAUAUUGGCUCCACGGAGCACACUAAGAAAUGGUGUUUUAAGCUAUUAAAAACAGCAAUAACAUCUAGUCCCAAAUUGGAGAGAGAACAGUAUGGAACCACCAUCCACAGUCUUGGGCGGCUGGCUGGUCAAGUGGUUUGCACCAUUUUAUCCACCACCCCCUCCUUAUUCUCUCCGAUCAACAACGUGCCUUUGUGAGGCAGCUGGCCAAGGUGAAAGGUUAAUUCUGUGGCCAUGAAACUCAGCCCAGCUAACAAACACAUAUGGGGUUGAACCUGGUCACCUUGGCCCCAUUAGCUCUAACCAAGUGAGCUGACCAGCCCCAGACAUCAGCCUUAGUUAUAAGCUCUAAGGGAAAUAAAAAUUUAAAGACAUCAGUACGUGGCCUAUGGGCUUUAGCAUAUAAACUUAAGGAGUUUUUUGAAUAAUAUUUGAGAUGAAGGCAUGCUACUUCAUCCAUAACAGGAAAGAAAUAGUCAAUAGGUAAUCUGAUAGGACCUCUGGAGCUACACUCCAGGUGGGUUCAAAUCUCAGUUCUACCAUCUGACAGCUGUGUGACCUUGAGCAAACUACUUAACUUGAACUUCAGUCUCAAAAUCUGUAAAUUAGGAUAAAUAUAUUCCAUUCCUCAAGGAUUAUUAGGAGGAUUAUGUGAAAUGAUUUAUGUCCAUGGACUUCGCACGGUGCCUAGCACAUGAUAAAUAUCAAUGAAUAUUGGUUAUUAUUACUACAUUUCAGAGGACGGAAUAAUCUCAGAAAAUGCAGCUCCCUCUCAAGUUAGCAUCAAGAAAAUGCAAUUUUGAAUUUUUUUUUUUGGUUACAUAAAGUGUUUUUACCAUGUAAUUUAUCAGAAAAUAUGCCUCUUAAACCUUCACUGAAAAUCUCAGUGUGUGGAUGCGAUGGCCUUGGUCAGGUUUUGUCCUUGAGAACAGAUUUCUAAAUUAAUAACUUCAGUAGCUAUAAAAUAUGAUUCAGCUAACUGAAACUCAUUUUACUGGUAUACUCCCAGGAAUAUAUUUCCCAAGGGAGAUACACCCAAUCUAAUGCUAAAUAAUUGCAAGGUAUUAUUAUUUGGCCUAGCUUAGUAUUUCCCACCAACACUGUGACACAGAUCAUUUCCCACCACACAUCACAGGAGCAGGAGAAAGGAAAAGGUGGGGAGAGAGACUUAAGGACAGACAGAACAGCAAGAGGCCCGGAGAAUGGACACAGGGACUACAGGGCACAGGGCAGUAGCAGCAGGCCUCCUGGACUAGGCACAUGGCUCCAUCAAGGACUGGCCUAGACCUGUUCGCACACUGACUCAGCCCCAGGUUUGGAGAACAGCCAUUGGAAAGCUUACUGGGAGUCACACAGCAGCAGCUCCAGAGGCCAAAUAUAGAAAGAGACUUAGCCAACCUUUCAAUCCCUGUCCCACACAGUUCACAUGACCAGAGUCCACACGGACAGGUCCCCGGUUCGUCAUCUCAGGAGACCUCACUGAAAAGGAUUUCCAUGGUGACCAUGUGGAAGUCACCUCAGUAACCAAAUACAAUAACCCUUCGCCUCUCCAGACUCCUGGCUCUUAACCUUUAAGACCCUUCCAGGCAUAUCCGGCCCAGGGAAGCCAAACCCCAAAGUCAAUAGGGUGUUAUGGUCAUUCACAGAAGGCCUGUAGGCUCUCCCUCCCGCUCCUUCUUCGACUUCACACUCCUCCCCUCUUGUGACAGGUCAUUUGUAACUGUCUCGUGGGUUUUAUUUAGUUGUGGUGGGCACAAUUAAAUGCUGUUCUAACUAAGAGAGUCCUUGUCCAGAAAACAAAACCACACAAAAGUCAGUCUGGUUACUUUGGCCACGUUUAGUGAUCGUUUCACAUCAGCACCUCGUCGAUCCAAUCAAUGGUUCAGCGGUUGGCUGUUAAUAAAGCUGGAUAAAAACAAAUUGAUCACAAAAAGGUCAAUUUGGUACCUAACACAUAGAAGGCUAGCAUUUGAACACUAGUCAUCUGUGGGGAAUCAACACCAUAUAAAAUCAAGAAUAUUCCACCUUUACCAAUAGUCCUUUAAAUGAAAGAAGGAAAAAUUACUCCCGAAAAAUAGUUAUUGUUUGCUUAUUUUAUAUUCUUUUUUAUAUCUAUCAGUGCAGAGAAAAUUAGAUAUGGAGGAAAAAAAUGAUGAAUUAGCUUUUUAAAAAUUGCUUGUGGUGAUUUCAAAGACUAUUUCAGCCACAAGUAGAAAUGGAAAUAAAGUGGUCAACAAGACCAGGCUAACCUAUAGAUUGUUCAUAAAAGAAAAAGAAAUGACAUGCAACUCUUUUUCUUAUUUUCGUACGUUGGUUACCACAUGUAGAAAUUGUGUCUGUAAACUUCCUUUGACUAUCUCAGAAAUAUACAGUUUUGAAGGGUCCUCACUACCCAAGAAUAAAGGAAAAAGUUGAACAUGCUUCCAGAGUUCAAGCGACAUGAUCAGGGAAGCCAGCCUAACCCUCCAACUGGUCAUUCCCUACCAAAGCUGUUUAUCAUUACCAUGUGCAUUGUACUGAGGCCCAAUUUAGAUCUACAAAAUGUGUGGGAGCCCACUUUUAUGAGCUGCUUCUACAUUUCCGAGAGUGAAAAGGAAGGCAGAGCAAAGUGGGAGAGCAGACCCUUCAGCAACCAGUUGGCAAAAAUCAAUAAUCUAGGUAGGAAGGUUGCCAGUGCCGCAAGCCACAUGUCAACAGUGACAGAGAGAAUGGGGGAGGCGGGGGCCAGAGAGAAAGAAAGAAGGAACAGACAAGAAAGGUCCAACUGCAGAAAAGGGAGAUGGCUAUGGGCUGAGCUGACGGUGUAAACUGAAAUUCAGAGGGCAGCAUGGCUAGGUACUGGAAGAGCCAUUGUCCUCAGAUCUGAAUAGUAGGCCCCUGUCAUAAAAUAGGUCAAGUCUUUAUCCUUGGUAUCCUUGGUCAAGUCACUUAAUCCUUUGCCUCACUCUCCUCGUUUGUAAAAUGAGAAGGUUGGACAAAAUGGUCUCUAAAGUACACCCACCCUCUCAAUUUGUCUGUCCUGUUUUCAUGUACUUGCAUACACAGGAAAGACCCAACCACUGACGGUCCCAACUUGGGGAAAUAACAGAAAUAUACUUUGCUUCCUGAGUGUUACUUGGGCAAAGAACUGUGCCUGGUUUCUUCUAUUCUAUGUUUUCUUUUUCUUUUUCCUCCAUCAGACAUCCCACAGAAAUACCCCAGAAACAUUAUCCCUGCGAGUUGAUGGAGUUUACUUGCUCAAGUCCUACUUCUUUGGCAAGGCUAUGAUUGCAUGCCAGGUCUCCUUCCUAGGCUCUGAGUGCCCACUGGGAUCCCCACCCUAGGCUCCAGGAGAAGAGAGAGAACCCGACGGGGCAGUCUAGCUGCAGCUACAAAGCCCAGCAUUAGACAGUGCACGCUUUGGAGUCAUCCUACCUCAGGCUGAGAGUUCAGUCAGAUCCUAACACGGAGUUUAAUUUCUCUGUUUCUUCACCAAGGCAACCAAUUUAUACUGUUGUCACCAAAAAGUAUUUAUUUGUUUAUUUAUUAAAAAUAUAGAACACUGGGGCUGGCCCCGUGGCUUGAGUGGUUAAGUUCGCGCGCUCCGCUGCAGGCGGCCCAGUGUUUCGUUGGUUCGAAUCCUGGGCGCGGACAUGGCACUGCUCAUCAGACCACGCUGAGGCAGCGUCUCACAUGCCACAACUAGAAGGACCCACAACGAAGAAUAUACAACUAUGUACCGGGAGGCUUUGGGGAGAAAAAGGAAAAAAUAAAAUCUUUAAAAAAAAAAAUUAAAAAAAAAAUAUAUAGAACACUAACCAUACAGCAGGGGCUGUGCUAACUGCUGGUGCUGGUGCUGGUGCUGGGAGAGCUCGGGGUUCCCUUAUACACAUAGACACAGACCGUGACAACAGCUCAGUGUGUUAAUGCUAGCACAGAGAUCCCUGCCCAGUCUACAGGGACUCACAGGAGGAGCCUGGGAAUGGUAAGAAUAGCUUUCCAGCACUACUGAUAUUUGAGCUGGUGCUUGAAGAAAGAAGACAAGUUUGCCAGGUGGUGUGGAACAGGGGAAUGCAUUUAAGGUAGAGGACACAGCGCAAUGGCUGAGAGUCGGUCAAGGGUGUGAUCAGCCCUGAGGAUAGUGCCAAGUUCAGUGUGAUUGGUGUAAAAUGCUUUCAUUGGCAGUCCUACAUAGCUUCGGGUAUAAAUAUCUAGGUGACGGCCUCAGAUGGCUUUGCCUAUAGGUAUGGUAACAAAGUACUAUGGGUCAAAAAUUAGAACAUAAGGCCCGAAUAUAAGCCACUUAAAUCUUGGAGUCUAACAUAGAAAGAGAAACACAGGAAGAAAAAAUAUAAAUAUAUUUAUAAUUUAUAAAAAUAUAAAUAUAUUUAUAAUUUAUAAAAAUAUUUCUGGAAGAACUUUUUAAAGGAAAUUCUCAUAGUCUUCCGUAGGCGCCAAGCAUUGCUCUAAGAACUCUCUGUAUAUUAACUCAUUUAAUCUGCUCAGUAACCCGCUGAGGCAGAUCUAUUAUUCCUCACACUUAACAGAUCAGGAACCGAGGCAGAAAGUUCAAAUAACUUGCCCAAGGUCAAUCGGACAAUUAAUAACAGGGCCAGGAUUGGGAAGCCGAGAUGGAUUCCAUCUCCAGUACUCUUAACCACAAUGCUUUACCACCUCUCAUGAGGCAGUGGUAACACGGUCACCCCCAGAAGGUGAGAGGGGCUGGGGAGAUGAGGACAGAGGUGGGAGCCCUGUCACAUUCACAAUCUCUUCCUCGGCAUAUGGCAAUGUCCCCAACGAAGUGCCAGGCAACUUUCCACUGUAGAAUCUUUUGUAACUUCGGAUUCAAAACAAACGUAAAGAUAGAAACGGAACUGUUCUAAAAUGUUUAGGGUACAGGUACUGUCCCACAAAAAGGCCACAGGCAGCAGCUUGAAGGGAGGGAGCACAAGGAGCCCACAGACCCAUCAGCAACCCAUCAUGCUCCCUUUCCAUGCUCCCAGCCAAGUGGAGAAGCACAGUUCGACCACAGCAAGGGGAGCAGGGCUGCAAAAGGGUGGGCGAACCCACGCCUGGAAGACGGACCCAGUCACGUGGAAGUCCUUCCUUGUCCCUCUUUCCUUUCUAUUGUCACUUCCUAGUUCAGUCUCAGCCACUGCAGCUGCUCAAUGGCAAUGCAUUAGAAACCAAGACAAUAGCAACAGACCCCAGCAAGAUAGCUGUAAAAGAGACAGCUGCCAGGCCUCCUUCCACAAGAGCACUUCCCAACAGCAAAAGGUUGGCUUGGGCACCCGGAAGUGGAAGGCCCACACAAAAAAGCCCUGCUCCUCACUACCAACUCCAGUGCAAACCCCCACUCUAUCCUCCCUCCACUUUCUUGAAGCAGGAGCCCAUAUAUUAUACCAUGCCAUGGUUCAUUUCAGCAAAAAUCAACUAGCAUUCUUCUGACCUGGGGCAAAAAAUUCCCUCAUUGAGAUCCUGAAAAAUAACAUUACAUCAUGUUGCCCGUGUCAGGUUUAUAAAUGGGCCAGGGGGAGGCUGGGGUGUAACCUGACACUAUCAAAACACUGGCCCUUGGAGAAGAAAGGAGGCCAUUGUUGUAGGCUGUCAGCUCUCCUCUUGCUGGAGGUAAAGUGAGUUGAGAGAAAUGUUAGUGGGAGGCCAGGCCCGGCGCUGGCCCUCACUCCCCAUCUCCUAAGAAAUCAGGCAGCCUUCCUCCAAAACGGGGUUGCCCCCAUUUCCCGCGAGGUGUGUCACCCUCCUUUCCAUUCUCUGGGGAGGGUGGAUGAGCUAAGUAAUUUUUAUUCCCAUGUCUCAAAGCAAAGAAGCAGUUAAACAUAAGAUAACCAAGACCAGGGGCCUUUUUUUUCCCCCUUUUUUUCUGAGCAGGACUCACUCCUCUAAACAGACACCAAAAAGAGAACUGAGCCCCUACGAUCACGUGUACAUGAGAGAAACAAUUUUAUUUGAAAGACAGAAAUAUGAACAUGGCCCAAAGUAGAAAAAACAACAGACCCCCGAGAAGGGUCGAGGGAAGAUCGAAGCGUAAAGCAAGAAAUCCUGAAACCUGAAAAAUAUUUCAAAGCGAAGCACUGGGGUUCGGAUCCAGAGACAAGAAAGUGACAAAAAGAACGUGCACGGGAUUACAGAGCUGGGACAGACACAGAACCAGCCAAAAGACAAAGUGUUGGCACAAAGAUUAAAAACAUUUUAACGGAUAAAAGGAGAAGAAAAAGGAUUUAUGGUGACAGAAAGUUUAGAAAAUAAAAAGCAAGUCAAAUGUAAGCCAGCUUGACUGGAGAAAGAAUUCAUUCUGCUGGUCAAACAUUUAAUUUGAUUUUCUCUUUUCUUUCUUCCCCAUCUUCCAGCUCAGCCGCUAAGCACAGGGGAGCAUGCAAAUGUGCUAUCCAUGGCAGAAUGUGCAGGAGGGCUGACCGCCAGUCCCCACAAGGGUGGUGCCAGCGCUGUGAUCAUUCAGGACAACAGGCCUAAGGGCCAUGGGUGAACCAGGGAACAGAGGGACACAGAGCAGAACUGAUCACUUGUACUCCUCCUGUCUUCUGCCUGUUUCCACCAAAUUGUUGCUAAUCCUAUCAUCACUCCACCAGGAACUUAACCUCUUACAAAAGCGCUCCCCACCCACCCUUAGUGCCUUCUUGGCUUCAUUCACCAGCAAUUAAGAAAGGAGGCCAUACAGACCACUGGGUUCCCGGUUGCUAAACUCUGCUUUUAUGUUAACCUCACCACAUUUUCUUUAGAACACAACAGGGACCCCCUCAACUAAAGUGAAAUGGUGCCCCAUGGCCCAAGUGCAUGGCUCUUCAAAAGAGCUUUCCCACAGAGCCCUGGAACCAGCCCCUUCCCUGGUUCAAAGAAGUGAAGGGGAGGGGCCGUGGACCACCCUCCAAGCCCAGAGCUUGCAUUUCCCUCACAAUUCCAGUCCCUCAAGUCUCUCUUUCAGCGAGGAGACUGUUAUUGGCGCCAGAGCGUGUUGCAUUAAGGCUUGCAGGCUGAUAGCAAGCGGGGACAGAGGGGCAGGGGAGGCAACUUGAGGUGGCAGACACCAUUCGCCGCAGUACUGAACCUAAUGGAACAAAAGGAGACACGCAGACACAGAAGGCUGAGACCCUUGACACAGGGCAUCUGUGAAUCUGCACCAACCCUUUGGUGCAACAAGUUUCGAUCUUGGAAAUUCUCUGACUGUUUCUGUUACUUUGCCUGGAAGCCUGUGCUCUGACACCCCCAGUCAUGAGACUUCCUUCCUUCCUUCUCUGUUGAAGAUGCCCUUGCACCGUCUAACUUCCUCUUCAUCUUUAACCAUAUCCCCCAAUUAAAUUCUUCAUCACAUUUCACUGAACAGAGAUUGAGUGCCUACUAUGGGCCAGUCACUGGAUUAGCUGCCGGGAAUACAGCCGUGCAAAAUCAGAAUGGUCUCCACCCCUAAACUCAUUUGCCUUCCUUCUUCCUUCCCUGUGUCCAAGGUUCUUGACAAACUCAACAGACAGGUUUUAGGUGAUUUCAUGAAAUCCAUGUGGUUCACAGUGAUUUGUCCAAAGAGUAACACUCAGACUCUAGAAGAGGCUGAGAAUGUCAGAGUGCCCAGGGUAAAGGGGGACGGGAAGGCCUCAAGCAGCCUGAGAACAGAAAGGGAAUUUGUGGGGAUGGACAAGGGUUAAAAGAAAAAGGAAGGAAGGAUGCAGGACCACGAAAAUGGUGAUUUUAGGAAUUUACCUGCACAUUUUUUAGAUUGUUAUACAUGUCCGGCCAUGCUUCUAUACCCUCAGGUGUUUAUGUCUCUGAUUAUGAGAAAGAAAGUGCUGGUCCCCUAAAACAAUUGCCUAACUCACUGAAACGUCGUGGGAUUUCAGGGGGAAGGCCAUGUCUAACCAACACCCACAAUUUUGUGUUCUUAGAGACUUAGUCUUUUGCUCUGAACUUCUCACUUGCCCAGAAAAUUCAAAAACACAGUGCUAAGAGAGGCCUCCUGAAAAGUCUGACACCUUUGUCCCUAAAUUUAUUUUCUCAUUAAUGAGUAAAGGGGGAUUUAUUGUUUGAAACAAUGUCUGUUUCAUAUCAACUCUUUUUCCCUGUUUUUCCCUCAGAUAGUGGAGCUCCAAAGAGACCAAGAGCAGAUGUUUUAUAUUUCAGGAGAGAGUGGUCUCCCCCAAUUCCUGAAAGAUUCCUGGAAUUCUUAUACUUAACAAAAAUUAGCUACAGAGAAAGAACAUGAAUCAUGAAUUGGGAGCACAGGAAGCCUCUGGGAGCCAAUCAUUUCUCCCCUCCUCCUACCAACCUUCCACCACCCCAAAGUCUGCCCAUUGCCCAAGGAAACACCCUUCUGAAAAAUGAGGCGUCAGGCUCUUCUAGCCGCCCCAAGAGCAGAGCUAUAUUCUGUGAUGGGAGAAGCCAAUCCCUGUGCCAUAAUCUCAAGAGCUAGAAGUGGGAGUCAGACCCGUGUUCCACUCCCAGCUCAGUCUGGGCUUUGUUAAUUACUCAAGUAAUAUAUAUCUCUAUUACUUCAUCUGUCCAGCAGAGAUCACAACAUAUGACCAAUCUCUCUUUUUGGAGUAAUGCAAAGAUCAAGUGAGAGGCAAGUGUAUCCCAAUAAGUUAAAUACUUACAAAAGUGAACAGUAUUUGUACUCAAAUCAUUGACAUCUGGCACUCUGUCUACAAGGACUCUGAGCUAACCAGUACACUUCGGCACGUGUGGACGGAGUAACAGUCACACAGCUCUGAGGCUGACGUCAGCUGGGCUCUCAAAGGUUGCCCAUCCCUGGUCAGAUCCCUUUAGCACUGCUUGUGCAGGCUGUUGCAAGCCUUUAACCAUGCAACAUUUAUUCAAUAAACAUUUACUAAGUACCUGGCACAGUACUUGGCACAUGUUGGGGGCUCUGUAAAUAUCUGUUGAAUAAUGAAUGAAUGAGUGCCUAAUGCAGAGAUGAAAAACACAUGGCAAGUUACCACCAGUCUCUGAUCUUGAAGCCAUAUCAGAAACCAUUAAUGGAUUAAGGCAUUCUUUCUCUCUCUCUCUCUGAAAGCCCUGGAUGUAGCUUAGAAUUCUCAGACUUGACACAGGAAAUGAAACCUCUUUGCCAUUCCUGAUCUAGGCACAAAGAUAAAACACAUCUUAACCCUGGUUUCAAGGAGCUCACAAACUAAUGGGACAAAGACAAUAAAUAGACAAAUGUAACAUAAUAUAUGUUAAGACAGAAGUAUGAGAGUCCAGAGGAAGGCCAUGGCAUUUAAUGAUGUGGAUAAACCAAUAAUUCUCAAAGUUGCCUUGGCUUUUAAGACGCCACUCCCUCCAUGUUUUUCUUCUGCCUCUCUAAUAAUCCUUUUCUUCUUCCAUCCUCUACCCAACUUCCAUAUUUUGGCGCUCUUGAAGUUCUACCCUGCUCCUCUUCUAUUCUGUAUAGACGCUCCUGGAUCAUCACAUUCCCUCUCAUGACAUCAAUUGCCAUUUACAUACUGAUUGCACCCAAAUUUAUAUCCCUAGCCCUGAUCUCUCUCUGCAGCUUCAGACAUAUAUUUCCAACUGCCUCUUAGCACCAACAGGCUGCUCAAAACCUAACUAAUUUACUCUCUUCUCUUAACCUUCCUCAGCAGCUCUAUGCAGCCUCUGAUAAUCUUGAUGUCCUUCAAGGCAUUGCUAUUUAAAUCUUCCAAACUAGAAAUCCUUAGCUUGGCAUCAUCUGACUCUGUGAUGGACUCUGGCCAUAAGGCUGAUACGACUCUAGGCCUCUGUGCAUGCUGUGCACUCAGCCUGGUAUCAACCACGGACUCACUCUGGCAUUCCUUUUGCAUCCUUCAAGAUCCAGAAACCCAAUUCCAAUGUCACUUUGGAAUACUUCCCAAUACCUCAUGGUAGGGUUAGUUAUGCCAUCCUCUGUAAACAAACGAUCUAAUAAGAUUCCAAAAUUCCUCCCUCUCUCAUCAAAAAAAUUAAGUUAUACAUAAGGCAGUAUGAAUGUUUAUGCAACCUAUUUUAUACAAAGUUUGCAAGCAUCAUCAGUUACCACACACAAAUAAAGCAUUAACUGCUUCAUUCGUUCAUUAAAUAAAUAUGAAGUCCUCGUCACAUGGUAGGGAAUCUUCUAGGUGCUAAGGAUAGAGCAACAAGACAAAGUCUCUGCUAUCAUGAAGCUCAUGUUACAGUGGGAAAGACAGACAGUAAGCAAAUACAACAUCAGAUUACCAGACAUCGUAAAUUUAUUACAGAACUCAUUUAUUAGAGGAGAUGAUGGAAGUUGUUUUAAAUAUAGAGAAAAAAGUAUAACUCUUGAAUAAUGAAAAAAAAAAUUUAAAUCCCUUAAAGCGGAAAGGAAUUACUCUCGCCCUGCCCAUGCCCUUCCAUAUGGUCACUAUCUUCAACAUGUUCAUUGUUAUUAUAAGAAAAGAGAGUGUAACUGCAGUAAAAUCUUACCAAUCUAGGGAAAUUGGAGGGAAAGCAUGAAUUACCAAAAAUAUCUGAAUUUAAAGAAUUUUAGUGAAAAAUAAAAUCUUAAAACUUUAUUCGACAUGAACACUAAUUGCUAAUAAACUAUUUCCACAAAGAGGUACCAUCAGACCUACUUUUUUGAACAGAGCGUAAGUUGGAAUUGGUAUGCAAAUAGAUUCUGUUCACUUUAUAAAACCGUUUAAAAGUUUGUUUCUUUGAACCGGCUAUAUAAUCCCGAGCAAUCUUAAGUAUAUAAACCCAGCACUCUAAACAUUGAAAUGUUCAAUAUACAUUUAUAUUAAUAGUUUUAAUUAUUUACAUGCUUGGUCAACUGCUUUUUAUGGGAAGGCUUUCACAAAUCAUCAAACAUUUUAAACAGUGGAGUUUGAAGUAAGGAGAUUGUAUUAUGCCUAAUCUGAAAGAACAACAAACGCCAGCAGCACAGGCAAUCAAGAGGGUUACAGAGGCUUGAGUCCCCUCUCCGCACUGAAAAGCUCCCUGUUUGAGAAAGACAAAUACUGUGCAAUCUCACUUAAAUGUGAAAUCAGAAAAACAAAACAAAACAAAACAAAAAACUCAUAGGAAAAAAGAUCAGAUUUGUGGUUACCAGAGGCAGGGGGUUGGGAGUAGGGGUGAGGGAAAUGGAUGAAAGAGGUCAAACUUCCAGUUAUAAAAUAAACAAGGACUGGGGAUGUAACGUACAACGUGACGGCUAUAGCUAACACUGCUAUGUAAAAAAUGGGAAAGUUAAGAGAGUAAAUCCUAAAAGUUCUCAUCACAAGGAAAAAAACAUUUUGUGUGUGUGUGUGUGUCUAUACAUGAUGAUGGACAUUAAUUAAGCUUAUUAUGGUAAUCAAUUCACAAUCUAUGCAAGUCAAGUCACCAUGCCUUAAACUUAUACUGUGUUGUAUGUCGAUUAUAUCUCAAUAAAACUGGAAAAAAUUUUAAAAAUAUAAAGGUGCCUGUUCGCAUACAGGAAAAGUUCUCCUCUACAGAACUCCUACGGAAAUUAAACUCACACUCCAGCUCUGCCAAAAUAUUUGUUCGUCUGCUUUAGGUCACCCCAACCUCUGUUACAGUCUGGAAGCUCUGCUCAUAGAAUUUUAGAGGACAAAAUAUCAUCUUUCUCCAAAGCAACAAAAGCAUUUUAAUAAAAAUGUUCUUCUGCUACUCUGCCCCUCUCCACCCCUGACACCCACCCCACCUGGCUAACUCCACUCCAUUUUUAGAUACCUGCUCACAUGUCACCUCUUCAGAGAAACUUCUGUGGACCUCACCACCAACAAGAUGGUGAGCUGCCCUCCUAAACACUCCCAUAAUAUUCCACCUGCAUCCCCAUCACAGCAUUUCAUACACUGAACUAGGACAGUUUCCUUGCCUGUCCCCACCAGAAUACUGGUUCCUUAGAUCAGGGUCUAUGAUGUCAUCACUGACAUCUUCCCAGCAACCAACACAGUGCUGGAUACAUAGAAGGAUGUAAUAUACAACUGGGGGUGUAAUGUACACCAUCUUCCUCUAUGGACUAGAGGAAGAUGUUUGUCUUGUCUUCUCCCAUCUUUACUUUUGUUUUAUUUAUUUACUGGGGAAACAGACUAAGAAAUUUCAAAUGCAAUUUGUCUAAAAGUGAAGUGUUUCAUAAAUGAAAAAACUCAGUCCUUGACAUGAGGAGGUCUUAGGGAAAGCCUCAAAGGAAUGGCUCGGCUCUACACCAAGACUCAUUUUUGGCUUAUUACUAAGAAUUCUUCCUAUUAAAAUUUAAUGCAGUCUUCUCUAGCAGUUCAUUUUGUCUGCCAAGUCCUUUAUGACUAUUUUGAUAAGUUAUUUAUUAACAUAUAGAAGCCACAGUAAUAAACGGAUGGCAUAAGCCAAGGCUCACAGGAUAGAAUGAAAGGGCUAUGUCCACUCCUGAUUUGUCAAGACUACAUCAAUAGAUCCUGUGACAAGCAGCCAUCAUCAAGUGCUGGCCUGAAUGUCACAGCAUCCUGGUACACAGUAGGCACUCAACAUACAGAACGAAUGAAUGAAUGAAUGAAUGACUAUCAAGGGGAAGGGAUCUCAGAAGUCAAAUUGUAAACCUAAGCAUAGUGGAACCAGAGUGCAAUUAUGAUGGGACACAGAUGGGUAAGAAGGCAAGCGGCACAACAUAGUCUACAAUUUAUAUAACCUCUGUAACCCUCAACUUCCUCAUUUCUAAAAUGGGAAUGAUAACAGAAUUCAAUAAGAUAACGUACAAAGUGCUUUGCACAUGUCUAGCAAACAGUGUGUGCUUAAAAUUACGAAGUUACUGUUUCGUAGAUACGGUUCAUAGUUACUAAAGUGAAAAGCACACCAGACUAAACUUAAAAUAAAAAACGUAUAAAGUGGAUGUCACUAGGAGACACUCUGAACCCAAAGAAGUGGAAUAUGUAGGUGUUCUCCACACAAUUUGUCAUAAGUACUGUACUUGAGAAGAAAAGGAUUUUUGGUAAAGUUAAUCACAUGUUAAACUCAGAAGUCUGUUAUCUAAAAAGAACCCAUUAUUUUGCAUGGCUUGUACACCCCUGCUUAAAAACACGUAUUACACUGAAUUACACAAAGACUCCUUUGGGAAAUACAUGACUGUUUGUAUAUGUGAAGGAGGAUCCAUAUUCUCACACAAUGGAGUUGCUUAAAGUGUACUUAUACCCUUACCCAGGUAUAAAUAUACUGGCACUGUGAUGCUCCCCUAGCUACAUCUGGCCAGUCCCUCUAGGAGAGAUGCAUUAUUCUCCUCUAAUUCUAAUUUUUAAAGCAUAGGACAGAGCUGAACUUUCUCCACAUUCUGUUUAACUUAGGCAGUUAUUCAAAAUUCCUCUCUUCUGCAAGCAUCAAUUCUGAACUUGGCUGAAAGAGAAAGAAAUACAGCGAACACAAAAAAGAGAGAAGGAAAAACAGAAUAAACUCUUUUGGCCCUGCCUUAUGUACAAAAAGAAAGAAAGGCUGCUUUUCCUCUUCCCGCCCUGUUCCUAGUGGUUACUUUCAGAAAAAUCUAGAGGGGUGGAGGUGGAGCAGGUUUGGAAGAAGGAAGGAAAGAGGUGGAAGAGAAGGAAGGUAGGGGGAAAAAACAGCUGCAGAAGAAAAGAAGAAAAAAGAGAAGAAAGGAGAGCUGAAACCUGACACUCAGGAACUCAGGGCUGCGGUGAACGAAGUCUCCAACUGAAAACUUGCCAGCCUGGGGAGGCCGAAUGGUUCCAAUCGCAGCCUUCAUUAACGCUUCAUACACUCAGCCCCUAAUUUACAACCGUUUAACGGCAAACAUUCUACAAGCACCUUUGGGGACCUCUGAGGACAGAAAGAAAUCUAAGAGAAAUUAGGUGCCGAGAGAGCUCCCCUCAAAGGCAAGAGCCCUUUCGUGCAAGCAAGCAAUUUAGCACUUUCUUUUUUUGUCUGUUUGGGGCUUUGGGGGUGGGAGUGGAGCGGCGUUGGAGUGGAAGAGACAUACAGCCAGUCAGAAGCUGUGAGGAGGUGCAAAGGGCUGGGGUGCCUAGGUAUGCGGGAGAGAAGGCAGAGGCUUUGUGUCUGUGGCGCUGUUAGGGGCUGUGCACGAGGGUUGUGUGUAAGUGGGUGGACGCAUAUAGAGCUGUAGGCAGGGACUCUUCCCAAACAGCCAGACUCUUGUUCCAGCAAUUUAAAUAAACAAGAACAUCAAAAUAACAUAAAAACCCACUAAAACAAUCAUUGCCAAGUGGUUUCCUGGAGUGCUAAAAUAGAGACCUUUUUUUUUUGGUAAAGGAUUAAGACAAAGUGGCAUAACCUUGAAGUUCACCCCAAGCUGCAGAAACUGAGACCCAGCUAAGGGGCCAGAUGGCUUGGAGGGUGGGGCCCCGCAGCAGUCUUCUCCACAAGCCUUUCUUGUCAUUCUCCUAAGCUUUGCUUCUCUUCAGCCCGUCCCUGUGCGUACUGUGAACAUCACAGGGUUUUAACUCACCGGGGCCUGGAAACUGGUUAGACAGCUUUUGUCCCAAGGCCACAAUGGACAAUCAGUCAGCCAAAGCACAGGAGUCCUGGAAAGAAGACUUGAACUCCCUCUCCUAGACAGGAGAAGGAGAAUGGGAAAAGGGAGGCUAACCAGAUUACCUUUUAACUAACAGCUUUACCUAAACGGAUUAACAGCGAGGAUUAACUUUCACAGGACCACAGAGCUGGAUCACCACUGCUAGGGUGCGUGGCUCAGACGAAGCUGGCCUUGCCCUCAGCCAGGAUCCGGGAAGGAGAAAAGGGCAAUGUCUUGUCUGAACCAAAGUCCUUUUCAAAGGCACUCAAGUCUCCCCAGAAUGGGCUCUGUGGGAUAUUAAUGCCACAGGCUAAGGGCUCCCGUCUUCAGAGCACCCAACUGCAACAUUUAAACCCAUAUGAUCUGUGGGGAAACAGAAUGGAAGAUCAAAGCGAGGCAGGUGGCAGGCAUGGGGGAGAAGGAUCUGAGUUCUACAUAAAGCCAGGUAGAGGCCACACCAUGCCCUGCUCCACAAGACUCAGACGCUCCUACCACAAUUUAAAGUCCCUGCACUCCCUCCUUCCCAGAGCCUCCAGAAAAGAGCGCUUUCCAGGCUUCUCCCACCAGUGAGACCCUAAAACCCUGGCACCCAGGUUCUUCUCCCUUUUCCCAUCAAAUGUGGUGAAAUCCCUGUCGUCUUCACAAUGGGCUUACCUGAGAGCGAAGGAGGCUGGGAAAACUCCUUUCACCACAAGCCAAUGCCUCAGAAAGAACUACACAGUCCCCUGCCACCCCUCUCCUCCUCUUUGUUUUAUUGUAACCAUAGGAGUUUUCUUAGCCCAGCCGCCCCAAAGAGGAUUGCUACUGAAGAGUGACUGCUUGAAUUCACCUCUGCGUUCUGCUAUUCUGAAGGCAGAGAGAUCCCUGAUUUUUAUGAAAUGCAAGCCGUUCUUCAGGUGUGAAGAUCAUAACUGCUGACCCAUCAGAAAUGAUCUGUUUGGAUUAUUCCAGUUUUCGAUCGACCUUGAUCUCCCCAGGUUCACUGUGUGACUAGAACAUGUAUGAAAUGGCUAGACCAUCUUAGGGAUGGAGUCUGUGGCCAAGGAAUACAGUAAAGGAACAGGUCCUCAGCAGGGGAGACCCUACGUGUGUCUCCUAGCCCGGUGCUCUAACCAGGUGACCGGCACUCCUUUAAAUGGGCAUGGUGGUGUCCCAGGCAAUGGGAAACUGCUAAAACUACUGUUUGCCUUUUGGGUGGAGAGAAGGCGUGCAGGCCAACUUUAGUUAAAAAGCAGAAUAGUUUAGGUCCUUCAUAUUUUCAUCACUGUAGUCUAACAUUACAGUGAUGAGACCUCUUGGAUUUUUUCAAGACAGUCCUAACUCAAAUAUUCUGUCCAAAUUUUCUCAUAAUUACACUCACUAUUGUCAAGUCCAACAGACCAAAUGGUGCAUUUAGGAAACAGGAGCCCCAUCUUUAAAGAACUCAACACUGGGACACGUACUUCAGAUUACCAGGAUGAUUCGAGUCUUAGCAUUGCCCCUAAACUGGCAGCUGUGAAUUAAAAUUUGCUCUGAAAAAAGAAUUGCUCAUGAGGUCUGAGUUGCACUACACACUGGCUUCAACUUUGGUUGGCUUGUUUCAAAAGAACACAGAAGCUUUUCAAGAAAAGGGGAAAAAAAUGGGGAAGGAGGUUGCACAAAGCCUGCUCUUUGCUUAGCAAACCAAUAAGAAAAAUAAAAUGCAAAAAGGGCACACGGCAGGCUGUAUUUCCAGGCUUUUUAGAGGGGUACAAUUCAUUUGGUCUAAGUAUCCCCAAGCCUUUCUAUUAGAGCAGGGCAAGAAAAGAGACAAGGGUCCUCACAGCCACCAGCAUCCCAACUGGAUUCCCAGUUAUCCCCACCCAGGCCUUGCCCCUCCCCGACCUGGAGGGACAGUCCCACUCCAGGCAGCUUUUGUAAGUCUCAACACUCACAAGAAAAAUGAUGGGUUUGAACUAUUAACCCUUCCCCAGAAAGGACUGAAAUUAAGAAGAGGCCACUGACAAAAUAUUCACAUGAGAAUACUGUAAAAAAACACCAAGCUAAAUAUUUGCCCAACAGUUCCAGACUCGCCUGAAGAAAGAGAAAAGAAACAAAAAUGGAGGGGGGAGUGGCCAAGCAAUAGAAAGAGACUGGAGUCAAGCUCAAGAUCUAUUAAGAAAGAAUUACACAAUUUAGAGAAAACUGGAGUUGAUGUUGGCAUCAGAGGGGAGCAAGGUUAGGGUGAAGAGUGGUGUUGGACUUGAGAUCUGUACAGUGAGAUGGAAAGGGGAAAAAAAUCAUAUUGAUUAAGCUGCUGGCUGUAACACUCUUUUUUACUGAAAACUCUCUUUGCUGAAAAAAGAGGGAGAAAAUGGAGUCUGGUGUAAAGGAACAGCGUGUUAUCUACCAGCAGGGAGGGGUUGGUCAGCACACAGACCAGGAUUCAAAUUCAAGCUCGGCCACAUACCUGUUGAAGAACCUAGGGCAAGUCACUUUACCUUUUGGAGCCUCCAUUUCUUUUUAUGUGAAAGAAGGAUAAUGAUACCUCUCCUUCCUACCUCCAGGUAGUUUUAAAGGUCAAAUCUGAUCAUAUAAAUGAAAUGCGCUGUAAACUCUAAGGUACUACACAAAUGUCAAGCUAUUUUAGGUAUGAGGCUCUUUACGAAAAAUGUGGCUGCCCAGAUAGCCCUUCAGAAAGUCAAGAAAGAUAAAACAGGCAGAGUAGAGUUGGAAAGGGUGAGCCUGUUGCCCAGAAAGGCUAAGUAAGAAUCAAUAACAAAACCAAAUAUGAUCAGGUUCUCCAAGGACUACUACAUACUGUGGGCUCGAGGCCUCCAAUGAAAGAUCACUAGGCACCAGUUUGCUCAUCAGAAAACUCUAGGAAUUAAACUAGUUCACCUCCAACAGAUGUCUCUUCUAGCCCUAAGAGUGUAUAAUAGGCAUCCGUGUGAGGUGGAGGGGAGAGAUACCCAAAGAAGCCGUAGACAACGGAAGGCAACGGCCUGGGCCCUCUGCAAUGGGCCUUCAUCCCCACCUAAUUCCAGUAGGAAAUUCUCUAUCUCUGGAGGAAAAAGAGAAGGGGGAAAGGAAAAGAGAGAGAAAGGGAAAUGUAUUCUUAUUCUAGUAGUCAGGUUAAACAAACAAAUAGAAACCCAGAUUUGGGAACCCUACAGAAAUGUAUGGCAACAAUUCAGAUCAGUUUCUGCAAAGGCCAACGCUUCUCAAGGGUCUAGAGUUAUAAGCUAGAAACUCCUCUGAGGUAUCAUAUUUAUUAACAUGGCCUCAAGACUCCAAAACAAAGGCCAUGAAAAGUCCAUUCUUAAAUGUAAAGUCCUAACAUGUGAGAGAAACCUAAGGAAUUCAUGGAGGAAAAGUACACACCAGGUCCUGGCUUCAAGGUCACAACUUUAGGAUCAUCAUAGUUGGGGACAUCCAAAUGGGUCCUCUUAAGGCCAUACAAAGAUUUGGGAAAUUCUUGCUCUUUGGCCAGCAAAUUUGGAAGUAUGGUAGAAAAUUAACUCUGUGUUCUCCAAAAGCUCCAUUAUGCAACCAUCAUUCCAACAAAUCGAGAUUGUUGCACGUCUUCAAAGAACUAAGUUAUAUUUUCCAAUCAUCAACCUUCGAGGUCACCAUCUACCUUCUAAGGAGAUGACCAUCCUCCAGGGCAACCAACUCUGUUCCUUCCGCAAAGACAGGGAGAGGAGAGGUCCUUCCUGGACCCUCAGGGGCCACGUAAACCCAUCCUAACUGAAGGAGUGAGAUACCUGCUAUUACGCAAAAGUAGACUUGACUAAAAGCAAUGUUUUCAAAGUUUUUAACUGCCACGACUGCUGCCCAAAAGAAGCCUUAUACUCUUGGGCAAUUCAUAAAACAAAACAAAGCAAAACAAAGACCAACAGUUAGAACUCCUCCCUUAAAGCCUGGGUCCUGGAUCAUGCCUUCACUGAACUUCCAGAACUUCAAGGAACACAAGUGAAGACAAGUCAUUGAUUCAAGUCAGGAGACCCAGUCUCACAUCCCAGCUGUACCACUUAUUUCCUGUGUGGCCUCCGCCAAGACAGUAAACUUCUCUGAGCCCCAGGUUUUUUUAGAGAAGUUGAGCAAUAUAAGAAAUUUAAAAGUUCAGAGGUUUGUAUGGAAACAAAAUUAGGGUGGUACAAGAGGGGUAGAAAUAAUAACAUUUUAAUUCUCAAGACACUAUCAUGUAGUUAGUAUUAUCCUUAUUUUACACAUAAGGAAACUGAAGCCGAAAAGUUAAAUGCUGUUUCUAAAAUCAAGACUAAUGAAACAGAAGCUUCUGCCGCACAAAUAAGUGUUCUUCCCACUAGAUCCACGUUUCUCUCAUAUCCUGGGCAGGUCCACAAUGACUCUGGUGACAUUCAAAGUCAUUAAAACAAGCACAUAGGACGCAGUAAAAAUAGAUGAUGAAAGUGAACCCGCAUGCCAAUAAAACAAAACAUAUAUCCAACUUUCCUUUAUAUUUGUUCUUUAUAAUCCAGUACAAUAGUAAAACUGGGCUGAAACAACUGGCUUUCUUUUACUGGGAAAGUCUACCUUCCAUUUUUCUAAUCUGUGUUCAGGGUGCCAUACUGGACUCCACCAAAGCCCUAAAAAUUAUAAUCUUUGGAGCUCUUUUGUCAGCUGUAUUUCCCUGGAAUGUAUUUUUUUCUAGCUAGCCCAGGCUGGGUGUCUCUUUCUGUCAUUUUUUUCUUAUGAGCCCAUUUGCGGGGACAGGGUCUAAUUCUGCGUUCUUUAGAGCACCUUUCAUACUGCUGUUGAUUAACACUAAAUAAUAAUGAUGUUUAUAACAAUGGCUGUCAAUAAUCAUAACCAUAACCAUCAUCACCAUAAAUAAGAUUUCCCACCAGCGGUUUCUUGAAGCCGGUGAAUAUACAAUAAUCAUAUCAGUUUGGAGAUCACCUGCUAAAAGCAAAGCUGAGCUGGGUGGUGACAAUGAGCAAAUGAAUCACACAUAACAUGCCAAAAGUGGUGAUUAAUAAAUGGCUCCUCUUCUCCUUUACAAAAAACGCUCUCAAAGUCGUCAUCCAGCCAGGUAACUGACCUUGUUUUCCAUUAAGGCUGUUCAGUCUUAGCUUCAAGGGACAUCAUUCAUGUCAUCCUCAACUGCUUUACAGCCAGCUUGCCACCAUGGGACCAUUACUGAAAAUCGCUCGAAUGGCACCGCCCAUUUGGCUCACCAGCGCAAUUCGCCAAGGGCGCUGCUCAUGGUUUCCGGGCAUUUUUAAGGAGAGUCAUGCCCAAGUCCACAGGGUUGUACAAGGGAAGUUCUGAGCAGCAAUGACCCCAUUCCACCGAAGGGAGGUCUGCAAGGCACGAAUUCCAUGGAUUUCCACAUCCCCUAGAGCAAAGCCAUGCUUAGCAAUCAGAAAGCUUUCUCUGCUAUUGAAAGACUACAGAGUAAUUCUGGGGACAGAUAUGGCACUGUCCUAAAGCCUGUUAACAGUGAGUACACUCUCCAAGCCCAAACUAUGGAGUAUAAGACGGAAGAUAGAAAAUUACAGCAGAAAUCGGGUUCUUUUGUCUUCAUAUUGAAGACAGCUGAGUGCAGACAACAUAGUGAAAAGGGCUCUGAAAGGAGGCUUGUUUCCUUUUUGCCAAAUAUUAGCUCCUUAUUAUUCUGCGCCUCAGUGUCCUAAUCUGUAAAAUCAAACGGUUAGACUAAAUGUGCACAGUCCAAUAAGGUAGCCACUAGCUACAUGUGACUAUGGAGCACUUGAAAUGUGGCUAGUCUGAACUGAGACGUGCCGUGAGAGUAAAACACACACCCAAUUUAAAAGACAAUACAAAAAAAGAACGUAAAAUAUCUCAUUACCAACUUUUAUAUGAAUUACAUGUUAAAAUACUAUUUUAGAUAUAUUAAAAUAUAUCUUUUGAAAUUAAUUUCAUCUGUUCCUUUUGACUUUUUUAACAUGGCAAUUGGAAAUUUCACUUUCUAUCUAAAUUUAAAAUCUCUCUCUUUUUCUCAGUGCUGGGCUAGAUGAUUUCUAACCUCUCUCUUACAGCUUUAACAUUCUAUGUUUCAUUUUGUGCUUCUCAGUGAUCUUUCCACAGCAAGUUAGCAGCGGAAUAGGGUUUAAAUCUUUACAGAGACUCAAUUUCCUUAUCUGUAAAAUGGGGGUAAUGCCACCUUUGAUGUGAGAUGCAAUGGGAAAGUGAUUUGAAAUUAAUAAGGUGCUAUAUAAAUUAUUACAGUGAUCACACUACAGUAUUACUUCCAGCAACCUGGAAUGGCAGGUGUAAAGGAAGGGUAAAGUGAGAAGAGUGUUGCUUCUCCCAAAGGCAGAGAACAUCAGCCUAACCUUAAGUUACCAAGCUUAGAGGCAUGAAUAAAGCCUGAGAGAAUCAGAACUGAAACCCUCGAGAGCAAGAGAGAUGCAGCACCGUCACACAGAGCCAAGAGAAGAACCAAGAUAGAAACACUGCCUGCUUUGGGUGUGAAAAGCACGUUGGGCCCCAAAACCCAAGGCACUUCAUACUUCACAGGAGACAAGACGGUGUUUUUUUGACCUAGUAAAAGCUAGAAAGGAAAAAAGAAAAUUAGCAACAUUUUUACAAAGUAGUAGCUAUUGUUUCAUUAUUAUUUUUUUUAGCUCUCCCAACAACUAUUAGAGGUAAGCCGAAUACUCACAUUUUUACAGAUUAAAAAAAGCCUAAAAACGGAAAUAACUUGCCUUGACUCAUGCAUCUGGUAACCACUGAAGAUGGAAUUCACACCCACGUCUCCCUACCUGAUUAAUUCUUCCCAGCAGAAAAAAGGGGAGAAAAUAUGGGGGAGAUUUAGGAUUUCUAUUCUUUUAGGGGCACAGCUUAAGGUCCCCUUCUGAAGUAGUCCUGGAAUCUGGGGUCCACUUAAAAUUGGGAAAAUAGAAGCGAUACCACAGCGACCCACCCACUGUCAAAAUCCAAUAAGAUAAUUGUGUCUGGAUCUAUAAAUAGGUAGGUUGGGUUUAAAAAGAAUGUAAGGGUUGUGUGUUACAAAUGCUGGGAAAGGACUAGAUCCCAGUGUGGGGAGAGGGGAACCUGUCACAACUGAAUGCUCACAAGAAAACCAAGGAGGAGCCUUUAUCAUCAGCGAGGCAAGUGGGGCAGCGGUGGGGGGGUGGGGAGGGGAUGGCGGAGACUGGUGGGGAAGAGGGGGGGAUCCUCAAGGGGCAGAAUUCAAAGCCCAAGAAGGAAGAAGCCCUGACAUCCGGCUGGCCACCUAUAGCCAUUGAUCCUGUACUGUUUUCCAACUUACUGGAUGGAGGCGCCACGCCAAUUCCAGCAAGCUCAUUCCGUUUCAUUUCCCCGACCAGGCUUUACUCUGCCCACAAGCCUCCGCCACCAGCUCCACCACCUUCACACUCUGCUCAGACACUGCUCAUCCUCAAAGCAAUGAGAAACAACGAUCACAACCAUGGUCUCAACUUCUUUCCUUUCUCAACUGACCGUCAGCUUUGCAGACCCUUGAGAAUUACAUGGCCAGCCAGGGACAAUCAUCACUUUGGACAGUCAGGCCACUAGGCAAACUGGAAGCAAUGGAAGCUGCUUUAUGAAUUCCUAUAAACUCAACUGAGAAGGCUGGCAUGGAAGUUUACAAGAUUAAGUGUUUCUAUCCCCUUUCCUAGGACACACAUUGCGACGAGCUGGAAAAGCCUCAUCUAGACUCUCAUACUAAACCCAGGAGCCCUGAGGGGCUCUCGUAGGCCAGGACUCCCCACCGCCCUCGCUCAGAACCAGAGACUCAGAAUUCAACUUGGCUUGAACAAAGACCCUCCUCCUCAUCUCCCUCUGGCUUCCCAACCCCCAUCCCCUUCAUCUGCCUUCCCCGCAGCCACAUUAACUACUCAGAAACACAGCCACUCCACUCUAGAGUUACUCAGGAAUCACAUUCUUAGAAUAACUCAUCAAUUAUACCUGUCAACUUGCCAAAAGUGCCACAGGGGAGGUGGAAAGUCUAGACUGCAUCUAACUGCAGCAGCACAGCACCCCUGUUCGCAGAGGGCCCCCACUUUGCUAAUGGCCUCUACAAGCUCACAAGAAACAAGAAUCCAAGAAAAUGCAGGAGCAGCCAGGUUUGGAAUGUAGACACUAGCACCAAGGUACUCUCAGGCCCAGGGCAGGGCAGGGAUCUCGCCGCUUCUCUCCUUGUAGACUAGGAAAACCUGCACCAGUCUGCUAACAGGAUGUUCCGCCACAAAAAGCCUGGAUUAGGAAAUGUUGAAAAGACAUGUCAUUGUAUUGCUCAAAUAUGCACACAAACUCAUUGUCAAUAAUUGUGCUGCCAAGAAAGCAGCACCAUGACAGACAUACUUUUUAAUUAAUUGGCAAGGAUCAUUAGUAAUUAAAACAUUUAUUGUAUGCAAAUGCUGCUACUAAAUCUUUGGAAAGUUUAUUCUCCAAAGCAGGAUAAAUAUCCCCAUGAACACCAUGUAUGCUACUAAUAGAGUAAGAAAGUCCCCCUCUUUGUUAACCUGUAAAAAGGUAAGCUUUCAUUCAGCUUAGCCUGAAGUGACUCCGAACCCAAGUUAUCUAGGAUCCUAAUUAAUAAAGUUGUCCCUUGAUUCCAAAACUCUGCGAACAGAGCUAUUCUGUAAAAAUACUAGAAAUGUGCUGUAUUUCCACGAGAAGGCACACAACUAUUUACUCAGCUGAUCUCAGGAAGGUUAUCUUAAUCACUCUGUGCCUCAGUUUCCUCACUUGUCAAAUUGAUGAGGAUUUUUAGGCUGGUUACUUUUAAAACUGCAGAUGAGAAGCAGGCUCCGAGGAGCAGAGUUUGCUUGCCCUUUGCUGGGAUACAUUUACAUUUGUAAGGGAAACCUCCAUCUGUAAAGAUGCCUCCCUCUCUGUGCCAGGAAGAAGGGAGAUGACCUUAUCUCUAGAAACUCUUAAUGGGGAAGGCAAGGACUUAAGUUGGUUACUGUCUGGCAACCUCAUGUAACUGAUUUAGGGUGGUGGCUGCUGGCCUUUACUUAAUCCGAUUUGAUUAUUAUCUAAAAGUUGUGGGACCACCCAAUGGCCAGACCCCACCUGCACUGAUAUCAUUUUUAACUUUUUUACAUGUUCUUUCCUUCGUCUUGUAAAGAGAUGGCUCACAUACCUAUGCCUUAAAUUUAGCCUUACUCUCCACCCAUGUUUGCAGCAGCAGUAGUGGGGGCCGCAGCAGCUCCUCCUGCCCGUGGGCCCUGUCCCCACGCAGCAGCUCUUACUGCCCAUGGGUCCUGUCCCCAUGCUAUUCCACACUAUUCUCUAAAUAAAAGAGCACUACUGCCAGAUCUUGAGAGCCCAAGAAAUCUUUCUUUCGACUCCUCAGCUCACUGACCCCGCAUCAAAAUAAUAGCAAUUUCCACCUCAUAGGAUUGUUGUGGUUGUGUAGAUUAAAUGAAAUAACAUCUAUGAACAUAUAUGAACUGCUUUGCAUGAUGAAUGGCACAUAAACCCUCCGUAACUGUUAGAAGUGUCAUCACGCAUUUGAAGGUCUUUUUAGGAUCAGCAAGCAACAUCCCUGCAAAGAGUGGAUUUUGUUCUUUCUUCGGCUUAUAGUUUAUUUAACAAAUCCACAGUCAGGAGGAGAAACAAAACCCAAGCAUCCUGACUCCUUCCGGCAAAUCCCUGUUCAGCCCAACAGGACAUCUCAGCUCCCCGAAUCAUCCAAACUGUGAAGCGCUAGGGGACAGCAUCCACUUUCGGGAGUCACAGAGUUCACUAUGAUUUUAAAGAUUUAAGAGAGGAAAAGGCAAUAGAUCUUCUGUCCACAAUGCCAAGCAAGAUUUCACGCUGUCGUCCUCCCCAUGAAGGCUCACCAAACAUGGCACCUCACAAUUUAACUUCCUCCUCACCAAUUCAGGCCCCAUUUUUCACUUCCCCCCCAGGAGCUUGUUUACCUGGACUCAGCGGGACUGACCUCUGUGGCUCAAGGGGAGCGGGCGGUGGCGAUGGGGAAUCCUGGGCAGGAGUGCAUGAAGCAAGCAGGACAAGUGAGCCAGCCCAGAGCCCCAGAGCGCUAAGAAAACAGCAGGCAGCCCCUAAUGAGGUCGGGACAUCACGGAAGUGUCCUCCUUUUGGCCUCUCCCUUCCCAGUUAGAGCUGGCAGAGGCAUUUCUCGUAUCAGCCUUUGUACAUGAGGCUCCAUGGAAGAGUUAAUACGCUCAUCCUUCUCUGACCAACAAGAGCAUUGCCACAGGGAUAGAAAUCAAAUUCCAGCUCAGUCCGUGGCUCACGAAAAGACCUUGGAAAAGUCACUUCACCUCCCUCCCCAGCAAUUCAAUCCAGGGAACAGGAAUCAGAAAGGCAUUUGUCAGCCCCCUUCCCAUGGUGACAGGUGGAUAAUAUCACCUCCACCCUAAAUACCUCGCAGGGAUGUGAGAGGAUGGAUGAGCCAGCAUUACAGCCAAUAUUCUACUCACCAGCAAUAAACAACUCACCUUUUGGAGGUAAACGGCUCUUUCUAGGGCACCAGGGGAUCAUUUAGCACUCUGGAAGAAGUAAUUUGCUCUAUGGUCCUCUGGUGUCCUGAAAAGUGUAAUCCACCUCCAAAAGGUGAACCCUUAACUCCCAGAGAAUCUGUUUUCUCACAGUAGGAUCAGCCUGCUUCAAUGUUUCCAGCUUCAGGAAAAAAGCACCCGCUAUCAUUUUCCGGUCUCUUCUCUCCCCCCUGCCAGCCCCGUCUCCUUACUGAUCGUCCCAUCCUCUCUUCCCCUCAAACAGAAACCAGAUGAAACCGUCUGCAAACAACUUGGGAAUGCUCAGUGUGUGCCUGGGGAAACUUAAACAAAAAUCCUUUCUGGGGCCGCUACCCUCCUCCGCCGCCUCCUCCUCCCUCCCGGGGUUGUUAAGGGCCCGGCGAGUUAAUGGGAACUUCUCCUUUCUCCUCCCACCCCCACGGCCCCUCUCCGGGCUGGGUCCUCAGCAUUUGAUUCCUGUCUGUCACUGAGUGAUGAGGACAAAGGGUGAGGAGUCAGGAAAAGGUCUGCGCCACUUUGUUCGGAGUCUGGAUGCGAACUUUGGAUGAACUCUUCAUCAGGGAGGGGGCUGGGGAGGAGAGGAGAGGCCAGCAAGGAGAAAUUCGCUGCUCUCUGGGCGCAAGCCUCAAAAAAAAAAAAAAAAAAAAAAGGAGAGCGAAUUCUCUUUAAACAACAGAAAGGAAAAAAAGGGAGUUAGGAGGGUAAAACAAUCUCCCUCCCGCAGCCCCCUUAGGAAAAAAAGAGGGCACCGUGGAGGUAAAGAGGGGAGUGCUGAAGAACACAGAGGGCCGGGCACCGCUCUCCAAUAAGGCUGUGGGCCCAUGCUGUGGGCUGCCAGCCAACAGCCAGUUUUGUUUCUUUCCCCUCCAGCCGGUCUCUUUCUCCCUGUGAUUUUUUUCCCCCUAAACCAAAGGGAAUUCCUAAUAAAGCCACAGUAGACUUGUAGAGAGCAAAGGGAAGGAAAAAGUUACCAGGGAUGGGAAAAGACAGAUCAAACUCAUCUCAAUCUGAAAGUUCAAAAUAAAAUACAGGCAUGCACGUAAAAUCAUGGCACCCCUCACUGCAUGCACAAAUCCACAUGCACAGACCCAAAAAUGUUUAGUCCCAAGUCUCUUUCUCUUUUUCCCCAUCUGUGUACACACAUACCGUUUGCAUGGAGGGGCUGGUGACUUUUCCUGGGUGGCUUUCCCCCCUAACCCUGUACUGUAGCUUUCAAAAAAGCACCAUUAACAUAGGGUUGGAACCACUGCAAAAGCCAGUUUGUCUUCUUUGUGCUCAAUAAAACCCAGCUAAAACUCUUUCACCUCCACUUACUAUUGAUUUUUCUAUUGUACUCUACAGGCGUGCGUAGCUCACUCAUCAGACUGUCUUUCAUUCUGUGAACCUCCCUGACCACAUCUGGACGUGAGGUUUUUCAGCUCCCAGGGAUGGGUAUUACUGCUCCAUUCAAUCAUUGUGCGCCCGCAUGCAAUCAUGCAGUCACUUUGGGUCUGGCCUCUGUCCUUUGGUCUUUGCCUCAGCCUCUGAAUUUCAAUACCCCAAAAAUCAGGUGUCCAUCCCAGCACGGAGGAAUGAGAGGUGACAAGCCCUCCUGCAUCCCCAGGGCUCUCUCCCCUCUCCUCUUGCACAUCAGAAGUGGGCUUAAGUGACUGGGUGGGAGAUUCACACUACCAGGACUAGAAGGGGGUGGGGCGAUGUUGCUACAACAUCUGGCACUUCGUCUCUCCACCUCUCCUGGGAACACCUCCUGUAGUGUAUGUGAGGCUGUUUUCCCGAAGCAGAAGUCCCGAACUGCUGCAAAUGGGAGUCUGUGUCUUCGCCUUAACUUCACAAAAAAAACCUGGUGAUGAAGAGAGGCAGAUCGACGGACCAAUGAGGUGAUCAGUCAUUAACGUUUGGAGGAACCUGAGUUAGUAGUGAAUCUGUGUACUGAAAACCUCUCAUUCUGCAUUCUAUGAAUAGGAAAAUAAACUCCACCCACUGAACAAGUGCAUAUGAUGUAAGAAAACCAAACACACAAAGAUCAACAGCUAACAACAAAAAAAGGCAGAUAAAAUGUUGCAUGAGUAUUCACAUGACAAACAGGGCUCUUCCCUGUGCAAAAGGGGUGUUCUAGGCCCAGCCCUGGAAGAGACCUUAUUAAUCAUUCAAAUGUAACCUCUUCCUUUAAAGAUGAGGCAGUCAAGACCCCAGAGUUCAGCAACUUCCCCAAGUCAUCAGUCCCUGUAAUACCCCCAUCCGUGUUCUUUCCAUCACACAUAUUGCUUCCACGAAGCUAAGGAGUGUACUCAAAUAAAGGACACAGUUAUGAAAACUGGACCCACCUGCUUUUCAGGAAUACAUCCAUACAAAGUGACAGACAUCGGUACCCCUUACCUGAAGAUACAGCAGGAGCUGUAGCAUCCUAUGGCCUGGUGUGUGAAACCAGGGAACGUGAAAUAGGGACACACAGAGGGCACACACACAAACAAGCCGUACUUGCUAUGUCCCUUACGUACUUGGUCAUGCACUUCAUCCUUAGAACUCAGAGCUGUUGCUGAAAUUAGGUGUGGGGUUUAUGAGGUCGACACUCAAGUUUCAUUCUCCAUCCCAAAUCCUGGUGGACUGUGGCCACUGUUCUCUCUGCACGCAGGUAACCUCUAUUUUCAAGCUCCCCCUGUGUAUAACGGUCUCAAUACGCCAUCAUCUAACUCUCAAUCACACCUCGCUGUUCAACCCUCGUGGGAUCUCCAGCUCCAUAUUCACUGCAUGCCCCACCAAUUCUGUGUUCAACAAGAUUUCUAAAUCUAUGCCGUGUUCUAAAUCAGCCCUCCACAUGCCUGCCAGUCUGUGACUCCUUUUUCUGGCUUUGAUUUUGCAAGUGGUUGUGACAGUACAGGUUAGAGAAGAAGUCUUAGAGUUGUGUUAUAAGCCACUCAAGCUUUAUAGUUUACAAAGCAUUUUACACCCAUAUCUCACUGGAGAUUCACAACCACCUUGGAGGUGGACGGGGCCAGACUAAUGAGUGUAAUCAGUGCCCAGAUUUCAGAUGAGGAAACUGGCCUGAGUGGCAGGCCCCUCAUUUCCAAUCUACCCCACAGUAGAACAGGCCCAUAACUGUUCCCCUGCAUCAUGAUGCUGCUGCAAAUGGGCUUGGAUGUUUCCGUUUUGCUUUGGAAAUGAAGAGGGAAAAACAUUUACUGAACACUCACCACGUGCCUAGUGCUGUGUUUGAUGCUGGUUCUUACAACAGGGAUAACCAUAGCAUCUCCACCCAUGAGCAGCUUCCUCAAGGCCAGCAAUGAAAUACAUGCACCUGUAUCUUCAGUAGAUAACACCCUCUGUUCUUCUUAUUCCUAUUUGUCUGAAUACAUCAGAGCAAUCCCUCCACCAGUGUAAACUCCUAAACAUAAGAGGAGGGUGUUGGGUGUACUUUCCUAUUUGGUUUGACGUAUGGAUUUGCCAGUAAGAUUAUGAGAGUGAUCAUCACUAUUUAUGGUUCUUUCAAUAUCCUAAAAAAUGCUCUAAUUUCCCGAGGUGUGAGUCUACCACAUGCUUCUCGAUGUCCAGCAGAGUUGUACUGCCAGGUUCCCAGACUUCUUUUCUCUCUCUUUUACUUAGUACUCCAGGAAGAAGUUAUUUGUUGAGUAUUUGAAUGAAUGAAUGAAUCAAUGUCUAUAAGGACUACUUAUUCAAGGGAUGUUAUAGAAAAGGGAUGAGACUAUAAAUUGAAAUUUAUUUUGAUCAACUGCACAAAAGAAAGGGCUCCUUAUUCAAGAAAAAGACUACACAUGAGCAGAGGAUGUCAAGAAAAAAGUUUACAAACCAAAAUGCUAAAAGUUUCUAGCCCAUAGAUUGUUACUAGCUGCCAAGAUGCCCAACACAGGGUGAGAGUCUUGGCAACUGAGAAGAGCAGAGAUAAGAAGGCAAAGACUGUGGUUCUGCUGAGAAAGAGUGUGGAGCAGCCACAGAAAAGAAUCAGACAAAGGAAGUGGUUCUAGUGGCCUCCAAACUGAGGCAAAGGAAAUACUUAGGACGUUUUCAUUUAAAUGGACUGGCCCUCAAGGACCUACUUAAGCUCCUGAAAGCCCACAGUGAGAUUCCUUGUCUAAGACCAACCCCCUCACCCAAGGACAAGGCCAAAGAGGAAAGCCACUCAAGCCAAUGCAGGACCCAACAAGGAAUGGGGCUGAUGAGGAGGGAAAUGCGUAAAUGAGCUUCUUGCUACCCUUCACUCAGCAACAUCUGAACUGCACUGGGAUUGGGGGAAGGCCAUCCCCAGGGAGUGACCCUGAAAGUGACAGCCCCAUUUGAGAUAUCACAGACUCCCACCAGGAAUUCUCACUGAGGGAGGAAGGGACUUGUGUGAGGAAGAUGGGGGCAAUUCUGCCUUUCCGCCUCCCCAAGGACAGGUUUAAAUUACACACGCUCACAUUGGAAGGGGUGGGGAAAGGGUAGUGUGCCCUGAGAGCCUCCGAAAAAAAAUAAUUCCCCGGCCUCAGGGUCUACAAACUCUUUCACUCUAAAAAAAGAAAAAAAAAAAAAUCCCACUUCCAACUUCUUGGUUUAUUUGUGGUGGUUAUUAUUAUUAUUAUUAUUUUAUUAUUAUUAUCAUUAUGAUGAUUUAAUGGAGGGGUCCUUUUCCAACAUUUCAAUUGAUCAGAUAGAAGGAAAACUGGGCAGAAAAUGGGGUCAGGAAGGAUGGGUUAGUUAGCCAAGGAAGAGGCCUCUCCCCGAAAAGAGAAUGGAAGUGAAAACGUGAAUCUGCAAGACAAUUGCCUCUCUCCUCUCUCGGAAAACUCACAGAUGCCCUUAUCCUCCCUGUUUUCUCUCCCCUCCUGGCUUAAGAAUCCAAACCCAAACUCCAAACAGAGUGAAAAGAAAGUUGGCUUAACUUUUGGGAGAGGGAAGAGAGAAAGGAGGUGGCUUUGCAGGCCAAUUUGAGGAUGGGAAGGUGCCGUAACCUGAGCCAUUGACUAAUUAAGGCAGCAGCUGCCCCUCCCACCGCCGCCUCUCCUGCUGGAAGGCAGCGUCUAGCCGGCUUCCUAAAUCUGAUUAUCACUUGUUUUUACAUGGUUCUCAUGUGUCCUCUCCCGGCCCCCGCCCCCGCCGCACGACACCCCACACUCGCUUCAUAACCCCAAGUCCAAGAUCAUAACUCAGAAAACUCAGACUCAGAGGAGCCAUCCAAGAACUCUCGCUCCUUCAAUAACAGGUCGAUGCCAACCUGAAACCUCUUCCUCUCUGAGCACUGGGUUUGGAGCACUUCACUGGAGUGAUCCAAGAGAUCUAAGAGGUAUUUCCAUCCUGUCUUCUCAUUCUUUGACACAUCAGAGAAGCACAUACAGAAAGUUCAGCAGACGGUAGUAAUUUUGGCAAUAAUUUCUUGAGAGGUUCGGUCUGAAAAAAUAAAGCCAAAUUUAGAUUUAGAUGAAUUAUCUGUGACUUCUUCUUUCCAUCCUUCCUUCAACUAACAUUUAUGGAGCAUCAUAUACGUACCAAGCCCUGGUACUGCUAGGUAUGCAGAGAUGAACACAGCAUGGUUCCCUAGGAGUCUACCAUCUGGAAGGGGAAGCUUACAAUCUUACAAUCAUCUUUCUGGAAACUUUUUUGAGAGCAAGCACACUGUGGGUUCAGUACUAUGCUACCCUUAGGUCACUUUCAAGGCCAUGAUCAACAGCUGCCCUGAAGCCCUCUCUCUUUCUUCUGCCAAUGGCAAGCAAUUUGAGGACAAGGUCCUGUCUUGCAUUUCCCAUGACGCUUGGCUUAGAAGUUAAGUGCCGGGUAAAUGUUUUUGAAUGAAAGGAAGGAAGAAAGAGAAGGAAGGAGAAAGGGAUAUAAGAAGGUAAAACUCUUCUCUGAUUCGUGUAGUAAUGAACAUCUAAAAAUUAACAAAACUGGAUAAAAGCCAAGUGUGGCAGAAAAGUUUGCCCUUUUCACUCUUUAUUUUACAAGUACGUCCCAGGGAUCAUUCACUGUCCCUGGUCUCAGGACCCGUGUUUUCUCCGUAAGCCAGUCACAGGAAUGGCGGUGGUGGCCCAACUCCAGCUGCUCAUGGGAAGUGGACCCACAGAGUUGCUGCCAAGGCUGCUGGGUCAAGUUAGGAAGAGAGCAAAAGAGGGGCCUGACCCCCCUCACCCCCUCUCCUUCAGGAUACCUCGGGGUCAGGGAGGGUGGGCUAGCUAGCCAAGGAACAGGAUAGGACCCUCUCUCCAAAAAGAAUGUAAGUAAAAAUGCAAAUGUGCAAGACGAUCACCUCUCUCCUCUCAGAAAACUCUCAGAUGCCCUCCUCUGUUUUCUCUCCCCUCUUGGCUUAAGGAUGCAAACCCAAACUCCAAAGGGAGAUGUUAGCUGUAUUGAGAGUGCAUUUUAAGCAAUCUUAUAUCUAUCUGAUUCCACAAAAGACAAAAUGUUCACACCUCUGUUACAUAGCACCUAUCAAGCUAGAGUCCAAUGCAUCUAUUAAGAUGUAUUUAUUCCCAGUAGAGCAUAACUUCCUCAAGGGCAGAAACGUUUGAUUGAUCCUUCUUUUCAGUAGCAAGUACUCAAUAAAUGUUAAUAAGUGGAUUUUCCUCCUUUUUGCAUAAGCAAAUAAAACAGUGUUUCAAUUAAAAAAAUAUUAACUGAGUUUGUACUGUGCACUGGCUAUAUAAGCCCUGAUCAUUCUUUUCCAGAAAUUCAUUAGUCUAAUAAGGGAAUCUGAUCAUAAACCAAUAAAUAUACUAAAAUCUGGCAAGUAUUGUGGGGAGGUUAUGUAUAAAGGGCUAUGGUAAAAUAUGAAAUAUAAUAUUUUUUUCAUCAUGUUGUUGAAGACAACAUUUAUCAUGUCACUUAGCAUCUUCUUAUUAGGAACUACAGGAGAAACUUUGUUCAUGGCCAACAAUUGAUCUGUUUUCAAUUCUAAAUACUCUGAAAUAGAAAACUGAUCCUAUUUCCCUUUUUGCUUUUGCUACCAGGAAGCAGAAUCAAAUCUAUAGCCAACCUCUAUAGGAUCUGGACUGAACAAGGUCCCAGACUUGAUCCAAAGAGUCAGGAAGCUAUUUUCUCACCAGCAAAAGGACUGGGAAGGCCACAGUGAGAAAGGAUCUUAAACAGGCAAUGUUAUAUACUAACAUUCCUUUGCAUUUUAUUUUUCUACCUCAAUUUUCUUUUCUAGUUUCCUCAUUUAUUUAGUAAAUCUGUUCAUAUUGCUUGUAGCUUUUGGUAACCUACUUGAAUUCCUCUUUGAAAUGAGAUGAGCAAUAAAUAAAUAAAUAAGAUACAUAAAAGGUUUUGUUGGUAAACAGAAGAGAAUUUCAUUCAUGAGUACAAUCAUUUCCAAGAAAUGGAAAACUCAUACAGCCAUAAGGAAAAUGAAAAGAGGAAAUACAAACAUGGGAGGAGGGGCUGCUAAUAGAUACGAGCUCUAGGGCACCAGGAUAAAAGGUGAAUUUCUUUUCCUUUGCAAAAUUUUCUUCAUUAAGGUCUUCCUGGUGUAUACUGUUUUCUAAGCAAUAAAUUUAAACAUGGGAUACCUUGAAUUCUUUCUUUCCCUUCUGACACUUGGGGUGAUGUGAAGAUAAUAGGCCCUGCAAAUGUUACCAUCACCAGGACUUCACCUCCACCCAGGUCCUUUCCACCAGGCUGCCCUCUGGACCACACUUCCCUCAGGAGGUAGCUGUCCCCUCCUCAAAACGAGAACACCUAUUUAUCAAAAAAUGGAGCUGCUCACUGUGCCAAUCUGACAAGAGUGGCUCUCAACUGGAGACAUGAGCCUUUCAGGUCUCACCAAGGAAGCUCCCAUCUGUACCAUUUAGAAUCAUCUGAGAGGCCCAGGCCUGGAGGAGGCCACCCGUGGAGAUGUGACAGAAGGAUGGCACGACCAGGAAGGGUGUGCAAGAACAAGACCCUGUACCUUGCAUUAUGUUCCUGUCAAAACCCCAGGCUUUGCAGGAGAAAUUAGAAAAGGUGAGAUAUAUAUAUGGCAGUCCAGCUUUAGACCACCUAUGCAAACAAGUCACUCAUUGUCUGAAAGAAAUCAGGUGGAUUCUAAAAAGAAAACUGGUACAGACCUAAUGGAAAUCAGGAAAUAGGCCCAAGGAGAAUUUUAGACUUAGCUCCUUUUCCUUAUGUUUUACAGCCAAGCACAGCCAAGGGAUAAUUAAGUCUGUGUACCUGAGGAACAGGACCAGAGAUGUGUGGAGCCAAAUGAUUUGGGUUUUGGACAACUGAGUAGGAUUCCCCAGGAUUUUCUUGGAAGAACCACCAUUUGAAGGGCUGUCACUCAAUGAGAAUGAAUAUAUUUGUAGAAAAAUCUACAUUUAGUAAAACUUCCUGACUAAAACCUGUCCCAACUCAUCCUCUCAUUAGCUGUGCGACUUCAGGGAAGUUCAUUAAACUCUCUAUAUCUCAGUUUCUUCAGCUUAAAAACUAGGGUAAUAACAGCAGCUCUGCAUGUAGUCAGCAUUCCGUGUGCGUCAGCUAUUACGACCUGUGGACGGAAGAUCUCCCUGCUCCACAGAGAAGGAAGGAGCAUCACUUCAGCUGACAUCUCCAGUUCAGCUGCAUCCUAGAAUGACCCACCACCACUCUUCUCGCAGCCCGGGGCCCAGAGCUCUCUUCCCUUCAAAUCACUUGAACGGAGUAGACAUGAGUAUAAAGUAACAGCUUAACCAUCUACACUGCCUGCCUCCCCUCCUCGGCUGACGGCCAGGACAGACAGACUGUGCGUCUGUAUGUUCCAAGAGCCGGAGAAGCCUCCAGGGCUGGCCUGUCCCAGUAACUGGACUGAACAAGCCUGUAGACCAGUUUGAUCCAAAGAGACAAGCAGCUAUUUCCUUAUCAGCAGAAAGACUGGGCAGGCCACAAUGAGAAAGCAAUCACCGGAGUCUCAGAAACCUUAAGGAGACAGGAGGUCUAACGGCAGAAGGCCUCAAAGAGCAUUAAGUUAACCCAGUGUCUUCUACCAGCAGGGAGGGAGAAGAAGAAGAAAGAAGGUGGCUGUGGAAGGGGAGGGUAUGAAUAUGAAAGAUGAAGCUAACCAUGAAAAUUUAAUUUGUUAAAAUAAUGACUAGAGAAUGACAGAUAAUGCACAAAUUGUCUACAUGCAUUUAUGGAAUACAUAAUAAAUGUGUGUAUGAAUAUAUAUAACUAUAUAUGUGUGCCAUGAUAAAAAUUAAUUCCAGCUUCUAGAAAGCAUCAUUGUUUGUCUCCCUGCUGGCAAGAACCCCGGAGCACAGAGGUAAAUUUCACACUUCCUCUCGGCAGUCCCUCCACACAGACCACAUAGCUUAAGCUGCCCAGGUGAGCAAAUGUCACAGAAUGCCUAUUCAGCGGGUGGUAAAUUCCAGCCAUCCCAGGGAAAUGCCAAGUGGUCUCAGGUCACAAGUUUGGCAAAUAGCAAUUUGGGGGAGUGGGGGAGGCCCCCCCAGACGGGAGGAAGGGAACAAAAGAAACAGGGAAAGGGGGAAGGAGGGAAGGAAAUGAAAGGGGUUACAGUGUUUAGGGAAAGGCAAGAGGGCCAAAAUAUGCAAGGACUCAAACACAGAACAUUUCUCAUGCUUCCUGAGUUAAAAACAGCACCUCUGAAUCAAAGAAAGCAUGCUUCCACACAUAUCACCCAGAGCGUUAAUGAACUUGGGUUGCAAAUGACCUCUCCAGCCACACUCCUGGCCCCACGGAAUGGUCCUGUGGUGGGCACAGGGCUUUGGGAGCAAGUCUGCUGCCCAUGGUACACAACUCACGACCAUGCUGGAGGCCCCUUCCUGGGCUGCAAGCUCAUUAAGAGUAAGGGCCACAACUUACACACGUGUAUCCUCAAUCUCUUUCAUAAUGCCUCAUAGAGAGAAGUUUCAUAAAUAUUUGCUAAAGUAAUAAAUGGACCAAAAUUGAAUACAAACUGCAAUUUCAUCAUUCCCUCUAGAAGGUCGAAAAUGUAAAGGUCUAACCAGUAUUGCAAAGCUAAACCCAACCAGGACAGGAAUUCGUUUUUAACUUUUUUACUAUUCAACCUGUGGGAGAUGAGAGUUUUCCCCUAACAUCUCCAGAACAGAUGGUGUUCAAAAAUAUUUGGUCAAACUUGCUUAAAAACAAUUAGGCCUCUAUAACCUCCACUCAGGAAGGGCAACAUUCAGGAGGUAACAUUGUAGGUGAGGAGAAGGUAUAUUCAAAUGGGAUCUUGACAAGACGACCAAUCUUUGCAUAUUUAUGCCCAAAUGGAAGCCACUAGGAAGAUGCUUCUCUCUUGAGUGUAAGCCUUUAGGAGGUUAAUCCACAGCUGUGGUUAUCAAGAAUCUGAAACACCUAGAAAUGGAGGAGUCACGGUAGAGU
This 37635-nucleotide long non-coding RNA is filed under the name Equus asinus (donkey). Its description in RNAcentral is "lncRNA (ENSEASG00005030572.1)". The record is from RNAcentral. Lineage: Eukaryota; Metazoa; Chordata; Mammalia; Perissodactyla; Equidae.